Molecule: ribosomal RNA, 432 nt
Filed under: uncultured bacterium
Lineage: Bacteria
Description: partial 16S ribosomal RNA
Rfam family: Bacterial small subunit ribosomal RNA
Source: RNAcentral
ACGAACGCUGGCGGCAUGCCUCACACAUGCCAGUCGAACGAGACCUUCGGGUCUAGUGGCGCACGGGUGCGUAACGCGUGGGAACCUGCCCUUAGGUUCGGAAUAACUCCCCGAAAGGGGUGCUAAUACCGGAUAAUGUCUUCGGACCAAAGAUUUAUCGCCUUUGGAUGGGCCCGCGUUGGAUUAGCUAGUUGGUAGGGUAAAAGCCUACCAAGGCGACGAUCCAUAGCUGGUCUGAGAGGAUGAUCAGCCACACUGGGACUGAGACACGGCCCAGACUCCUACGGGAGGCAGCAGUGGGGAAUAUUGGACAAUGGGCGAAAGCCUGAUCCAGCAAUGCCGCGUGAGUGAUGAAGGCCUUAGGGUUGUAAAGCUCUUUUACCCGGGAUGAUAAUGACAGUACCGGGAGAAUAAGCUCCGGCUAACUCCGUG